RNAcentral lists this ribosomal RNA (440 nucleotides) under uncultured bacterium. RNAcentral's name for it is "partial 16S ribosomal RNA". It matches the Rfam family "Bacterial small subunit ribosomal RNA", at positions 338 to 795 of the family's 1533-position model. The record is from RNAcentral.
CCUACGGGUGGCAGCAGUGGGGGAUAUUGCACAAUGGGGGGAACCCUGAUGCAGCGACGCCGCGUGGGUGAAGGAGCGUUUCGGCGCGUAAAGCCCUAUCGGCAGGGAAGAAGAUGACGGUACUUGACCAAGAAGCCCCGGCUAACUACGUGCCAGCAGCCGCGGUAAUACGUAGGGGGCAAGCGUUAUCCGGAUUCACUGGGUGUAAAGGGGGCGCAGACGGCAAUGCAAGCCAGGAGUGAAAGCCCGGGGCCCAACCCCGGGACUGCUCAUGGAACUGCAUGACUGGAGUACAGGAGGGGCAAGCGGAAGUCCUGGUGUAGCGGUGAAAUGCGUAGAGAUCUGGAGGAAUACCGGUGGCGAAGGCGGCCUCCUGGACAGUAACUGACGCUGAGGUACGAAGGCGUGGGGAGCAAACGGGAUUAGAUACCCGUGUAGUC